Molecule: non-coding RNA, 32 nt
Filed under: Homo sapiens (human)
Lineage: Eukaryota; Metazoa; Chordata; Mammalia; Primates; Hominidae
Source: RNAcentral
UGGACCAUGGUGCAGCUGGACCUUUCUGCCUU